RNAcentral lists this small nuclear RNA (107 nucleotides) under Chinchilla lanigera (long-tailed chinchilla). Lineage: Eukaryota; Metazoa; Chordata; Mammalia; Rodentia; Chinchillidae. The record is from RNAcentral.
GUGCUCGCUUCAGAAGCACAUAUACUAAAACUGGAACGAUAUAGAGAAGAUUAGCAUGGCCCCUUCGCAAGGAUGGCAUGCAAAUUUGUGAAGCGUUCCAUAUUAAA